Molecule: ribosomal RNA, 424 nt
Filed under: uncultured bacterium
Lineage: Bacteria
Description: bacterial SSU rRNA
Rfam family: Bacterial small subunit ribosomal RNA
Source: RNAcentral
GAUGAACGCUGGCGGCGUGCCUAACACAUGCAAGUCGAACGAUGAAACCGCCCUCGGGCGGACAUGAAGUGGCGAACGGGUGAGUAACACGUGACCAACCUGCCCCCCUCUCCGGGACAACCUUGGGAAACCGAGGCUAAUACCGGAUACUCCCUCCCCUGCUCCUGCAGGGGUCGGGAAAGCCCAGGCGGAGGGGGAUGGGGUCGCGACCCAUUAGGUAGUAGGCGGGGUAACGGCCCACCUAGCCCGCGAUGGGUAGCCGGGUUGAGAGACCGACCGGCCACAUUGGGACUGAGAUACGGCCCAGACUCCUACGGGAGGCAGCAGUGGGGAAUUUUGCGCAAUGGGGGAAACCCUGACGCAGCAACGCCGCGUGCGGGACGACGGCCUUCGGGUUGUAAACCGCUUUCAGCAGGGAAGAAAU